Molecule: ribosomal RNA, 447 nt
Filed under: uncultured bacterium
Lineage: Bacteria
Description: partial 16S ribosomal RNA
Rfam family: Bacterial small subunit ribosomal RNA
Source: RNAcentral
UCGGGAAUUUUGGGCAAUGGGGGAAACCCUGACCCAGCAACGCCGCGUGAAGGAUGAAGUAUUUCGGUAUGUAAACUUCGAAAGAAUAGGAAGAAUAAAUGACGGUACUAUUUAUAAGGUCCGGCUAACUACGUGCCAGCAGCCGCGGUAAUACGUAGGGACCAAGCGUUGUUCGGAUUUACUGGGCGUAAAGGGUGCGUAGGCGGUCAUGUAGGUCUGAUGUGAAAUCCCACGGCUCAACCGUGGAACUGCGUUGGAAACCCCAUGGCUGGAGUAGGACAGAGGUGAGCGGAACAGAUGGUGGAGCGGUGAAAUGCGUUGAUAUCAUCUGGAACACCGGUGGCGAAAGCGGCUCACUGGGUCCUAACUGACGCUGAUGCACGAAAGCGUGGGGAGCAAACAGGAUUAGAUACCCCGGUAGUCCCUGAGCGGGCUGGCAAGGCGCAU